GGGGCCGACCUGGUUUCGACGUGGGUGCGGAGUUGGGAUAGGGCACGCCGAGCACCAGUCCGCUCGUUAAACCACUGGAAAAAAAGUAACUGCGAACGACGAACGUUUCGCCCUCGCCGCUUAACACCGGUGAGCCUCUCAGCAGUUGGCCGAUGGGCUGCGUCUGACGCCGCAAGGUGUUAGGCAGAGAGGUCAUUCACAUUGGCUGGUUUCCAGGUGGGCCAUGUACCCGGAAAUAAGAUCAAGUGGCUGGCUGCCAACGAAGCGUGCUGCUGCGCGUCGGGGGUGGUGAGAUCCAAAUCAGUCAGCUAAGCGUGUAGAUCUACCUGGCGAUGGCUUGCGGACGGGGGUUCAAUUCCCCCCGGCUCCACCA
This 373-nucleotide transfer-messenger RNA is filed under the name Burkholderiales. Its description in RNAcentral is "Ideonella sp002255925 Standard tmRNA". It matches the Rfam family "transfer-messenger RNA". Rfam says of the family: Bacterial tmRNA, also known as 10Sa RNA or SsrA, is named for its dual tRNA and mRNA-like properties. Its role is to liberate the mRNA from a stalled ribosome. To accomplish this part of the tmRNA is used as a reading frame that ends in a translation stop signal. RNAcentral also lists the same sequence under 2 other names. Lineage: Bacteria; Pseudomonadati; Pseudomonadota; Betaproteobacteria. The record is from RNAcentral.